This is a non-coding RNA of Stegostoma tigrinum, 1227 nucleotides long. NCBI's taxonomy places the organism in Eukaryota, Metazoa, Chordata, Chondrichthyes, Orectolobiformes, Stegostomatidae. The record is from the annotation of a RefSeq genome assembly.
UAUAGAACAGGUUCCUACAAAUAUCCAGCCGCACAGAGGACAGCAGCAAUGCAGCUACUUAGCAUCUGGGUUGUGUGGGGAGUAAUUCUAACAGACAUGAGCCAUGGAGAUUCUGUCGCUCAGUCACCUUCCUCAUAUGUUCAGAAAGAAGGAAAGGCUGUGGCUCUAAAGUGCACCUAUGAUACUACAUCAAGUGGUUAUACAUUACACUGGUAUCGCCAGCACCCGGACACACAGCCCGAAUUUAUUCUGUGGCAAGAUACUGAUGGUGAAGCUGGCAAAGCAAGUUUUGUGCAAGAUCGUUUCUCUAUGCAACUCGAGACCUCGAAGAAAUUGACGAGUUUGGCUAUCACUGGGCUACAGCUGACUGACACUGCCGUGUAUUACUGCGGUUUCAGUGACUACACGGUGAUGAGAAACUCUCUCACCCCAGCACAAAAACUUCCUCGAACCACAGAUAGGGUCUGUGUCCGCUGGGGCUUUAGUGAAUCGUGGGCUGCUGUAGUGUAGACCUCAAACCUCACACUGAGAGGAGAUCAAAUUAACCUCCAAUCAAUCUCUCACGGAAUUGUUUUCCAGAGCUGCUGACAAAAUAAACUGCAGACUCCGAGUGCUCCCAUAGACACAAGACAGCAUCAUAUUUGAAGCCACCUGUUCAAAUCCACACCCUCGACAAUCUGUGGUCCUGUGAUUUGCAGGCAGUAAACUGGGAAAAAGCUGCCCUUUUACAAGUUUGACCUUCUGACAGCUGACAGAGGCAUCCAGAGACACGACCGCAGUUUACUGAGGGUGCGGCUCUGGAAUGAGGGUUUCUGAAGCGGCUGACUUGAAUGAAUUGAGGAAAUGGUGCAUUAAUCCUCUCAUAAUCGAGGUGAUAAUAUAGAACUCUAUCUGCUGAGAAUAUAACAGGGUAACCACUCUCUGUUUCUGUACGUGUGUGUAUGACUAUGUGUGAUUGUUGUUUCUAUGUAUGUGUGUGUAUCAGUGUGGGUCUGAACAAGAAAAGGUUCAAUGUAACUGUGAACCUAUCAGUCCUACUACCACACUGUAUUUUAUAUCAAACUCCUCCUGUUGAUGUUUUUCUGUAUCACUGUCAACUAUCUCGCAUUCAUUGAUCUCCUUUCUCAGUUUCUCUGUGCAAUCUCAUUGCCGUCAUUCUCUCCGCCUGCCGGCGUCUCUCUAUCUUUAAGUUGAGUUUCCCCUUCAUUUUCUGCUUCUUUUAGAUUC